Dendrobium catenatum is the source of this 347-nucleotide long non-coding RNA. RefSeq lists it as uncharacterized. The record is from RefSeq and is a predicted model, not a curated record. Lineage: Eukaryota; Viridiplantae; Streptophyta; Magnoliopsida; Asparagales; Orchidaceae. The transcript has 2 exons.
UGGCUUAAACGGGAACAUAUAUAAAGACAGCAGCUACCAACCUGGAAGUGUUGGAGGAGCGCAAAAACCUCUUAGAAGUGCUCUGCCAUAAGCUUCUUCUCCAUUGGCUCCUUACCAAAUCCGUCAAAGUUUUUCUUCGAUCGUUUCCAGCCUCAGGAGGAGGUGAAAGCGGGGAGAUGGCUCACAGACUGGAUCAUGAGUACGAUUACCUCUUCAAGAUCGUUCUGAUAGGCGAUUCCGGAGUUGGGAAAUCGAACAUACUCUCCAGAUUUACUCGGAACGAGUUCUGCCUGGAAUCGAAAUCCACGAUCGGUGUAGAGUUCGCCACGAGAACGCUUCAGGUAUGG